UAUCGUGAGGUAGAAUCUGAAGGAAGCUGGAGGCAAAAUCUUGGCUCGACGGACAGAAAUCACAUAUUAAGGCUAUAUAAACAGGACGAGGUUGCAACACAAACUGAAGUCCGAUACUACACGAGGUUUAUAUGGUAAAUGUGACGAGUAGACGAGAUGAAAGUG
This 165-nucleotide non-coding RNA is filed under the name chicken gut metagenome. The record is from RNAcentral.